GACAGAGGUCCCGAGCGUUAGGCGGAAUCACUGGGCUUAAAGCGUGUGUAGGCGGAUUGGUAAGUACCUUGUGAAAUCCCACGGCUUAACCGUGGAACUGCUUGGUAUACUGCUUAUCUUGGGCCACUUAGGGGCUACCGGAACAAACGGUGGAGCGGUGAAAUGCGUAGAUAUCGCUUGGAACGCCGAAGGUGAAAACAGGCUGCUGGGGUUGCGCCGACGCUGAGACACGAAAGCCAGGGGAGCAAACGGG
Molecule: ribosomal RNA, 253 nt
Filed under: uncultured bacterium
Lineage: Bacteria
Description: partial 16S ribosomal RNA
Rfam family: Bacterial small subunit ribosomal RNA
Source: RNAcentral